GUCGAACGGCAGCACGGACUUCGGUCUGGUGGCGAGUGGCGAACGGGUGAGUAAUAUAUCGGAACAUACCCAGUAGUGGGGGAUAACUAUCCGAAAGGAUAGCUAAUACCGCAUACGAUCUGUGGAUGAAAGCAGGGGAUCUUCGGACCUUGUGCUAUUGGAAUGGCCGAUAUCUGAUUAGCUAGUUGGUAGGGUAAAAGCCUACCAAGGCGACGAUCAGUAGCUGGUCUGAGAGGACGACCAGCCACACUGGAACUGAGACACGGUCCAGACUCCUACGGGAGGCAGCAGUGGGGAAUUUUGGACAAUGGGGGCAACCCUGAUCCAGCAAUGCCGCGUGAGUGAAGAAGGCCCUCGGGUUGUAAAGCUCUUUUGUCAGGGAAGAAACGGAGUCCUCUAAUAUAGGAUUCUAAUGACGGUACCUGAAGAAUAAGCACCGGCUAACUACGUGCCAGCAGCCGCGGUAAUACGUAGGGUGCAAGCGUUAAUCGGAAUUACUGGGCGUAAAGCGUGCGCAGGCGGUUUUGUAAGUCUGAUGUGAAAUCCCCGGGCUCAACCUGGGAACUGCAUUGGAGACUGCAAGGCUAGAGUGUGUCAGAGGGGGGUAGAAUUCCACGUGUAGCAGUGAAAUGCGUAGAGA
This 640-nucleotide ribosomal RNA is filed under the name uncultured beta proteobacterium. RNAcentral describes it as "bacterial SSU rRNA". It matches the Rfam family "Bacterial small subunit ribosomal RNA", at positions 61 to 696 of the family's 1533-position model. The record is from RNAcentral. Lineage: Bacteria; Pseudomonadati; Pseudomonadota; Betaproteobacteria.